UUGGGAUUCUCUCUCUCUCUCUCUCUCUCUCUCUCUGACCCUCCCCUGCUUGUGCUCACUCUCUCUCAAAAUAAAUAAAUAAGCUUAGAAAAAAUUAGAGCCAAAAGGUGCAUUAAGUUGAUGUAAUAUUCAGCUAAAGAGAAAAUCGAUGAGCUAGGAGAUAAUUUUAAAGGAAUGUAACAAAGACAGGAAAAAUAUAAUGUGACGAGCGACAAGGAGUGUAGGGGGAGGCGGGCUCAUACACCCGCAACUGGAGGGAGAGAAACAGGGGAGGAAGGUCAUGCUGAUGAGGACAAGAGCCGAGAACUUCCCUGAACCUGUAACAGGGCUGCUGGAUCAGAUGGACGGCGCCCCGUGACGUUUGACGAUGACUACUAAUGAUUUCUAGAGUAAGUGUGCCCACAUGCGUGUUGCACAGAACAUACACCAGCCAUUCAUUGCUUUCCUGAAAUUCAGAUUUAACAGGGCCUCCUGCUACGUCAGCAGCCCUGCUCACGGAAGACGGGAGUCAUUCAAGCAGAGAUGCACGCCGUCCCCAACGCACUGAAUGCAAGCCCAUCUGCAACCGGACCGGUCGUAACGAGCCAGGAGACACAACAUUUCCUGAAAGCGGCAAGAAAGAAAAGAAUCACCUUCAAGGGAAGAAGUUAGGUGGAGGCCAGACCUUCCAACAGAUGCUACAGGAGGCAGAAAGGAAGCUUCAGCAUGCAGAAAAAUUCGUCUUUAUCCUUUUGCUCAAAAUUCUCCAGUGAUUUCUCUCCGCAUGAACGUCCAGGUUCUUACCGUGUCUCCCCACACAAGGGCGAGCAUUCUUGGUACUAAUCACGCCCACAGAAGAACAGCCAUGUAAUGUAAUGUAAUGUAACGUAAGGAGGUGCCCUACAGCCACGUCUCAGGGAGACACCCGUGAAAAGGUCCAAUUUUCCGAUCCAACCCCCAGCCUUUGUUGGGUCCACCUGGGCUCGGCCCACAGCAGCUUGGGGUGACGCCAGCCCCGUCAUCAGGAGGCAGCCUGCUCACUGCGGUAGGCCGUCCCAAGUGCACGGUCUUCCGGAAGACACCGAAGCCCAGGAUCAGGGCUCUGUUUGUUUCAACCAAGAAGGCAGGAGCUCUGGAAGACGGAAACAGCAGUAGUGACCACAGCAGACGGGGAGGACGCUGGGAAUCCGAUCUACUCUCCACUCUCUCAAAAUUUCACUCCAGAGCAAAUAAGCAAGGAAAAGACUUCAGCACAUCCACUGAUGAAGGGAUAGACCCAAGGGAUAGACCCAAGGCAAGAGGGACAAGGGGGUGGUGGCUACUUGGGAGAACGGGGUGCCUGGGGGCACCUGGGGACGAACGGGUGCACGAGGCUUCGAGGAGGAGAAAGCCAGCUGCCUCGUCUUGUGCCCACAGCCUUUGAGGUGUCCUAAGAUUGAGUGACUGAUGCAUCCAUACAUACGUAUUCAAGAAAAUAUUCUUCUCAUAGACCUACCUGCUGAGAUGGGGAGAUAAGGGAUUGAAAUGACAUGGGUUUUUUUCCUCCCUGAAAGCCCCAGGUAACAACUCCAGUAAGAAAAACACACUGACGUGAAUUCAAGUUGUCCCUGCAAGUUGCGUUACCUGUUGUUCAUUUACUGGAACGUUCCAUCUGCUUAUAAGAGCACGGCUCCACCUUCAUAUAGACCAGAGUUAACACACUGUCUCCCUCUCUCUCAGCCCCUCCCCUGUUCUCGCUCUCCCUCAAAAUAAGUAAAUAAGCUUAAACAAAAAUGAAAAAUGUUUUUCCUGUUGGAAA
Long non-coding RNA from Leopardus geoffroyi (Geoffroy's cat), 1777 nucleotides. RefSeq lists it as uncharacterized. The transcript has 2 exons. Lineage: Eukaryota; Metazoa; Chordata; Mammalia; Carnivora; Felidae. The record is from RefSeq and is a predicted model, not a curated record.